CUUAUUGUAUACGGUUCUUAACUUUGUAAUCAUUUAAUGUUGUUUUUAGUCAUAUAUGGAGGUCCAAUUUUGGUAUACAGAGUGAGUUCAUGUUUAUGUUGGGUAGAAGAUGUAGCUUUCUUUUUGUCAAUUUAAUAAGCAAAAGAAGAUGGCCAUUGAUAUCCUCCUACUGAUUUAGCAUCUUAUUUCAAAAGGUUUGGGCUAGUCUAUUGCUGCAGUGAUGGUCCAUGAUAACUUCCAGUUUAGAUGGCCUUUAGACAAAAUCUUUCUCGAUCUGGGAAGAUGGCAUGCAUCACUAGGUAAUGGUUUUCAUAAGAGUGAGGAUACAUUUUGAGCAUUAAGGUAGCUGCAUUCACAAGAGUUCCAGCAUACUCCAGUUCUGUGAUGGAAGGCAGUUGUUUCGUCAUGGUUGAAAUUGAAAUGGCAACCACCAACAGAAUACACCAAAUAUUACUGGACAGGAGCAAAAGAUCCAGUGAUGGUAUAUGUUACUUUCAGAUAACUAGUGUUUAUUACUUCAGUUCAUAGCUCAUGAUGUUGUUAUAUGGAACUUGUGAUAAAAGAGAUAGCCUGUUU
Juglans microcarpa x Juglans regia is the source of this 576-nucleotide long non-coding RNA. RefSeq lists it as uncharacterized. The record is from RefSeq and is a predicted model, not a curated record. The transcript is spliced from 3 exons. Lineage: Eukaryota; Viridiplantae; Streptophyta; Magnoliopsida; Fagales; Juglandaceae.